GGAGCCCUGCAGAGUACGUGAUGAGUCAAUCAAACGCUUGAACCGUAUUUCUUACCCGGGUGCUCGGGUCUCAUAUGGGUCGCGUGCACGCCUUCGCCUUUAGGGGCAUGAAGGUAGCCAAAACGGCCCGAGUAGAGCGCCCACCUGUUUUUUACGGGUUCAAGUAAGAAUUCUCACACGGCUCAGGCGGGGUCUUC
This 197-nucleotide non-coding RNA is filed under the name Acidobacteriota bacterium. Its description in RNAcentral is "6S RNA". It matches the Rfam family "6S / SsrS RNA". From Rfam's summary of the family: E. coli 6S RNA was the first non coding RNA to be sequenced, but its function was unknown until recently. It consists of 184 nucleotides that fold into an extended hairpin structure with a large single-stranded internal bulge. The record is from RNAcentral. Lineage: Bacteria; Pseudomonadati; Acidobacteriota.